CUCAAACCCGCCGCCCUCCUUGAAACAGAAACACAAAAAGAGGAAUGGGCAGUGGGAGGGAAUUGUAACUCAUUCUUCUUUUUCUUUCGUUUUAGCUUUCUUUGAUUUUUGAUUGUUGAUAUAAUCGCAUUCUUGGGUUCUUGACAGAUUUCAUUUUUGUUCUUUCUUUUAUUUGAAAGAAGGAAUUCUUUCUUCUCUGUUCUUUAUUCUCUCUUUCUUGGACUAAGACUGAUCACAAAGACUAGACAGAGCACUUGUAAUCUUUUCCUUUUUCUUGAAAAGAAAGAGUAUAGACAGAGGUAUAUAAAAAGCAGAGUGAAGAAGGGGGGAGAAAGUGAGGUGCGCUUUGUAAAGACCGUGAUUCAAAACAAGGUGGUUUUCUCAUUGUUCACACCGCUUUUGGUAAAAUAUAUAUGUAUCAUAUCUAUGUCUCUAUGACUCUAUCCUUUUUUGAUUAACCGCCUUCUUUAGUUUUUAUUCACAUUUAUCCUUCGGUUUUAUCAGGACUAAGACCUUCUGUCACUUUAUAACCAUAUCUAUAUCUCUGUCCCUGCUGCUUGCUUGCUUUCUUGCUUUUUUUCUUGUGCAUUUGUGUUUUUCUCUUUGUGGGUUCAGCUUUAUUUUGUUAAUUAUCAGUACCCAUUUGUUCUCAUUACUGUUUUUAGUUGAACACCAUACCAGAAACACCAUUUAGGGAGAACAGGGCCAAGGAAAUAGAAAAAUGAAGUACGUUUUGGUUACUGGUGGGGUAGUUAGUGGACUUGGCAAAGGGGUUACUGCCAGUAGUAUCGGUGUUCUCCUUAAAGCUUGUGGCCUCCGUGUAACUUCUAUCAAGAUUGACCCUUACCUAAAUACUGAUGCGGGGACUAUGUCUCCUUUUGAGCAUGGGGAGGUCUUUGUAUUAGACGAUGGUGGUGAGGUAGAUUUGGACCUUGGCAAUUAUGAGCGGUUUCUAGAUAUCAAGCUAACCCGUGACAACAAUAUCACAACUGGAAAAAUAUAUCAGUCUGUAAUUGAUAAAGAGAGAAAAGGAGAUUAUCUUGGAAAGACUGUGCAGGUAGUUCCGCACAUUACUAAUGCCAUCCAAGAAUGGAUAGAGCGUGUAGCAAUGGUACCGGUCGAUGGAAAAGAAGGUCCAGCUGAUGUUUGUGUCAUUGAAUUAGGUGGAACUAUAGGGGAUAUUGAAUCUAUGCCGUUCAUUGAAGCACUUGGCCAGUUUUCUUACCGUGUAGGUAAGUUGAUUAUCUGGAUCUUUGUUGCACUCGCUGUUAUAAAUUGGUUUCUUUUGGAUACUUUUUGGUAUAGCUUCUGCCUUAGUUACUGCUUGUUGUUAGGCCCUGGCAAUUUUUGUUUGGUCCAUGUGAGCCUUGUUCCUGUUAUAAAUGUGGUUGGUGAACAGGUAUAUCUGGACACUUUGUUUCCCUUAAUAUGGCAUUUUGCAUAGAUAUGUGUUUCAAAGCAUCGUGUUGAUGGAUGUACUUAUUAGUUGUUGUUGGCUCUUAUUACUGUUCUGUGUAAAUGCUUUGAAUAACAGAAAACAAAGCCUACCCAACAUAGCGUUCGAGGGCUAAGAGGACUUGGGUUGACGCCAAACAUUUUAGCUUGUCGUAGUUCAAAGGAACUUGACGAGAAUGUUAAGUUAAAGAUCUCUCAAUUUUGCCAUGUGCUGGUAUUGUAUGCUAACUACUACUAUUCUUUUAUUUGGUUUCUUUUGCCAUGGUUACUAUUUCUAUAGAAUUUAACUUAUGUGCAGACUGAAAACAUUGUAACUCUAUACGAUGUUCCCAACAUUUGGCACAUUCCUUUGUUACUCAGAGAUCAGAGGGCACAUGAAUCAAUAUUGAAAGGACUGAAUCUUCAAGGCACUGCCAGGGAGCCUGAUUUGUACGAGUGGACUGAUAGGACAAAAAUCUGUGACAUGCUGCAUGAUCCUGUUAGAAUUGCCAUGGUUGGAAAAUACACGGGUCUUUCAGAUUCCUACCUCUCUGUUUUGAAGGCCCUUUUGCAUGCUUCUGUUGCUUGUCGCCGGAAGCUUAUUGUAGAAUGGGUUGCAGCAGGUGAUCUAGAAGAAGUUACAGCAAAAG
This 2084-nucleotide unclassified non-coding RNA is filed under the name Hevea brasiliensis (rubber tree). The record is from RNAcentral. Lineage: Eukaryota; Viridiplantae; Streptophyta; Magnoliopsida; Malpighiales; Euphorbiaceae.